CCUACGGGAGGCAGCAGUGAGGAAUAUUGGUCAAUGGACGCAAGUCUGAACCAGCCAUGCCGCGUGCAGGAAGACGGCUCUAUGAGUUGUAAACUGCUUUUGUACGAGGGUAAACGCAGAUACGCGUAUCUGUCUGAAAGUAUCGUACGAAUAAGGAUCGGCUAACUCCGUGCCAGCAGCCGCGGUAAUACGGAGGAUUCAAGCGUUAUCCGGAUUUAUUGGGUUUAAAGGGUGCGUAGGCGGACGGAUAAGUUAGAGGUGAAAACUCGAGGCUCAACUUCGGAAUUGCCUCUGAUACUGGUCGGCUAGAGAGGAGUUGCGGUAGGCGGAAUGUAUGGUGUAGCGGUGAAAUGCUUAGAGAUCAUACAGAACACCGAUUGCGAAGGCAGCUUACCAAGCUACAUCUGACGUUGAGGCACGAAAGCGUGGGGAGCAAACAGGAUUAGAUACCCUGGUAGUC
RNAcentral lists this ribosomal RNA (460 nucleotides) under uncultured bacterium. Its description in RNAcentral is "partial 16S ribosomal RNA". It matches the Rfam family "Bacterial small subunit ribosomal RNA", at positions 338 to 795 of the family's 1533-position model. The record is from RNAcentral.